Molecule: ribosomal RNA, 460 nt
Filed under: uncultured bacterium
Lineage: Bacteria
Description: partial 16S ribosomal RNA
Rfam family: Bacterial small subunit ribosomal RNA
Source: RNAcentral
CCUACGGGUGGCAGCAGUGAGGAAUAUUGGUCAAUGGACGAGAGUCUGAACCAGCCAAGUAGCGUGAAGGAUGACUGCCCUAUGGGUUGUAAACUUCUUUUAUAUAGGAAUAAAAUGUUCCACGUGUGGGAUUUUGUAUGUACCAUAUGAAUAAGGAUCGGCUAACUCCGUGCCAGCAGCCGCGGUAAUACGGAGGAUCCGAGCGUUAUCCGGAUUUAUUGGGUUUAAAGGGAGCGUAGGUGGAUUGUUAAGUCAGUUGUGAAAGUUUGCGGCUCAACCGUAAAAUUGCAGUUGAAACUGGCAGUCUUGAGUACAGUAGAGGUGGGCGGAAUUCGUGGUGUAGCGGUGAAAUGCUUAGAUAUCACGAAGAACUCCGAUUGCGAAGGCAGUUCACUGGACUGCAACUGACACUGAGGCUCGAAAGUGUGGGUAUCAAACAGGAUUAGAUACCCGUGUAGUC